GACGAACGCUGGCGGCGUGCUUAACACAUGCAAGUCGAACGGAAAGGCCCUGCUUUUGUGGGGUGCUCGAGUGGCGAACGGGUGAGUAACACGUGAGUAACCUGCCCUGGACUUUGGGAUAACUUCAGGAAACUGGGGCUAAUACCGGAUAGUAGCUCCUGCUGCAUGGUGGGGGUUGGAAAGUUUCGGCGGUUGGGGAUGGACUCGCGGCUUAUCAGCUUGUUGGUGGGGUAGUGGCUUACCAAGGCUUUGACGGGUAGCCGGCCUGAGAGGGUGACCGGCCACAUUGGGACUGAGAUACGGCCCAGACUCCUACGGGAGGCAGCAGUGGGGAAUAUUGCACAAUGGGCGGAAGCCUGAUGCAGCAACGCCGCGUGCGGGAUGACGGCCUUCGGGUUGUAAACCGCUUUCGCCUGUGACGAAGCGUGAGUGACGGUAAUGGGUAAAGAAGCACCGGCUAACUACGUG
This 468-nucleotide ribosomal RNA is filed under the name uncultured bacterium. Its description in RNAcentral is "partial 16S ribosomal RNA". It matches the Rfam family "Bacterial small subunit ribosomal RNA", at positions 28 to 507 of the family's 1533-position model. The record is from RNAcentral.